Molecule: long non-coding RNA, 804 nt
Filed under: Hordeum vulgare
Lineage: Eukaryota; Viridiplantae; Streptophyta; Magnoliopsida; Poales; Poaceae
Description: long non-coding RNA (HVUL_LNC013811)
Source: RNAcentral
UCGGCUAUAUAAACGUUUGAGGACCAAAGACAUAUAUCAAUUUUUUGAGUGACAUACGAUUCCUUCUUUUUCUUUGCGCAUGUCACACAACGAUGCCCACUAGCUAGCGUUCUUGAACUAGUUGUUCUCUAUAAGGGAUGAAGCUCGCACAUCUAGGUAGUAAGCACCCCAUGAUGACGCUCAAGCAUGUCCAUCACUGUCGUGGAAUGACCGGCAUCAGGAAGCAUGUGAAGGGCAGAUCUUUACAUUUCAGUGAUAACGAUGCAUGUGAUCCUUCAUCAUACUAUGGCGCACAUAGCCCGACGUGAUACAUAGCGCUACAGAACUAUGGAAUGGAGAGAGGCAGCGAGCAGAUUGUGCGGAAGAUCAAGCUUUCAUCACAACCUCGCUGAAAAGAAGGAGGUGUAGACGCUAUAGUUUGUGGCCACAGUGCACAACUAGAGGCCCAUUGGAGAGAAAAAUUGUUACCACAGAUCCAAGUCUAUGUUGAAUUUAGAGAUUGUGCAUGUCAUUAGAUGAUAACGAGUUUCAAACAAAACCAAGAGUAGUUCAAAUUAGAGCUUGAUGAUAGAUAGAUGGGUCUUAUUAGUUUGUAGUUGAGAUGGUCUUUCGCAUAAUAAAUAUAUACAUCGAAUGUGGCACAAUCCUACUACUAGGGUUGUUGAAAUAUUGUAAAAGAUGGUGGAUAUUAUUGUGUCAUGUUUCAAUAUGGGUCCUAUAUUUUUGUUAGCCCACUCGACAACAACUAAAUCAAAAAAGCCCCAUUUACGAAACAAAGAGUGCUCAGAAGAAACAAACUAUCCU